RNAcentral lists this ribosomal RNA (1497 nucleotides) under metagenome. RNAcentral's name for it is "bacterial SSU rRNA". It matches the Rfam family "Bacterial small subunit ribosomal RNA". The record is from RNAcentral.
AGAGUUUGAUCCUGGCUCAGGAUGAACGCUAGCGGCAGGCCUAAUACAUGCAAGUCGAGGGGCAGCACAGGUAGCAAUACUGGGUGGCGACCGGCAAACGGGUGCGGAACACGUACGCAACCUUCCUUUGAGCGGGGAAUAGCCCAUAGAAAUGUGGAUUAAUACCCCGUAAUAUCGUUGUCAGGCAUCUGAUGGCGAUUAAAGCUCCGGCACUCGAAGAUGGGCGUGCGUCUGAUUAGGUAGUUGGUGAGGUAACGGCUCACCAAGCCGACGAUCAGUAACUGGCGUGAGAGCGCGACCAGUCACACGGGCACUGAGACACGGGCCCGACUCCUACGGGAGGCAGCAGUAAGGAAUAUUGGUCAAUGGACGCAAGUCUGAACCAGCCAUGCCGCGUGGAGGAUGAAGGUCCUCUGGAUUGUAAACUUCUUUUAUCUGGGAAGAAAUGUCGGUUUUCUAACUGGCUUGACGGUACCAGAUGAAUAAGCACCGGCUAACUCCGUGCCAGCAGCCGCGGUAAUACGGAGGGUGCGAGCGUUAUCCGGAUUCACUGGGUUUAAAGGGUGCGUAGGCGGAUUUGUAAGUCCGUGGUGAAAUCUCCGAGCUUAACUCGGAAACUGCCAUGGAUACUAUAAGUCUUGAAUGUCGUGGAGGUUUGCGGAAUAUGUCAUGUAGCGGUGAAAUGCUUAGAUAUGACAUAGAACACCGAUUGCGAAGGCAGCAGGCUACACAAAUAUUGACGCUGAGGCACGAAAGCGUGGGGAUCAAACAGGAUUAGACACCCUGGUAGUCCACGCCGCAAACGAUGAAUGCUAGCCGUUGGCGAGCUUGCUCGUCAGUGGCGCAGCUAACGCUUUAAGCAUUCCGCCUGGGGAGUACGGUCGCAAGAUUAAAACUCAAAGGAAUUGACGGGGGCCCGCACAAGCGGUGGAGCAUGUGGUUCAAUUCGAAGCAACGCGCAGAACCUUACCAGCUCUUGACAUGUCCCGUAUGGGUUUCAGAGAUGAGACCCUUCAGUUCGGCUGGCGGGAACACAGGUGCUGCAUGGCUGUCGUCAGCUCGUGUCGUGAGAUGUUGGGUUAAGUCCCGCAACGAGCGCAACCCUCGCCCUUAGUUGCCAUCAUUUAGUUGGGCACUCUAAGGGGACUGCCGGUGAUAAGCCGGAGGAAGGUGGGGAUGACGUCAAGUCCUCAUGGCCCUUACGGGCUGGGCUACACACGUGCUACAAUGGCGGUGACAGAGGGAUGCGAAAGAGCGAUCUUUGGCAAAUCUCAAAAAACCGUCUCAGUUCGGAUUGGGGUCUGCAACUCGACCCCAUGAAGUUGGAAUCGCUAGUAAUCGCGGAUCAGCACGCCGCGGUGAAUACGUUCCCGGGCCUUGUACACACCGCCCGUCACACCAUGGGAGUUGGCUUUACCUGAAGGCGGUGCGCUAACCCGCAAGGGAUGCAGCCGACCACGGUAGGGUCAGCGACUGGGGUGAAGUCGUAACAAGGUA